Molecule: ribosomal RNA, 393 nt
Filed under: uncultured bacterium
Lineage: Bacteria
Description: partial 16S ribosomal RNA
Rfam family: Bacterial small subunit ribosomal RNA
Source: RNAcentral
AUACGGAGGAUCCGAGCGUUAUCCGGAUUUAUUGGGUUUAAAAGGAGCGUAGGUGGAUUGUUAAGUCAGUUGUGAAAGUUUGCGGCUCAACCGUAAAGUUGCAGUUGAAACUGGCAGUCUUGAGUACAGUAGAGGUGGGCGGAAUUCGUGGUGUAGCGGUGAAAUGCUUAGAUAUCACGAAGAACUCCGAUUGCGAAGGCAGCUCACUAGACUGUUACUGACACUGAUGCUCGAAAGUGUGGGUAUCAAACAGGAUUAGAUACCCUGGUAGUCCACACAGUAAACGAUGAAUACUCGCUGUUUGCGAUAUACAGUAAGCGGCCAAGCGAAAGCAUUAAGUAUUCCACCUGGGGAGUACGCCGGCAACGGUGAAACUCAAAUGAAUUGACGGGG